This is a long non-coding RNA of Raphanus sativus (radish), 291 nucleotides long. RefSeq lists it as uncharacterized. The transcript has 2 exons. NCBI's taxonomy places the organism in Eukaryota, Viridiplantae, Streptophyta, Magnoliopsida, Brassicales, Brassicaceae. The record is from RefSeq and is a predicted model, not a curated record.
UUUAUCUCUCUCUCUUUCUCUCCACGACAGAUCUCAUCUCAUUCUCUUCUCUUUUUUUUUUUCGAUUCUUCAUCUUCUCCUUCACUCUCAUAUCUCUCAUUUCUCCCAUCUCUGUCCCACCACGUCUCCUCCUCGUCUCACCACCACCACGUCUCCUCCUCUUUCACCACCACCGAGUCUCCUCCUCUGAUCAUCACCGGCUUCGAUUCACGGUGUACCGGAUACCACGGCUUGGAUCUGAGAACACGCCGGAGCUGAGCAUGACGACCUGGGCAGAACAAGACGACGCGG